GACGUGCUAAUCUGCGAUAAGCGUCGGUAAGGUGAUAUGAACCGUUAUAACCGGCGAUUUCCGAAUGGGGAAACCCAGUGUGAUUCGUCACACUAUCAUUAACUGAAUCCAUAGGUUAAUGAGGCGAACCGGGGGAACUGAAACAUCUAAGUACCCCGAGGAAAAGAAAUCAACCGAGAUUCCCCCAGUAGCGGCGAGCGAACGGGGAGCAGCCCAGAGCCUGAAUCAGUGUGUGUGUUAGUGGAAGCGUCUGGAAAGGCGUGCGAUACAGGGUGACAGCCCCGUACACAAAAAUGCACAUACUGUGAGCUCGAUGAGUAGGGCGGGACACGUGGUAUCCUGUCUGAAUAUGGGGGGACCAUCCUCCAAGGCUAAAUACUCCUGACUGACCGAUAGUGAACCAGUACCGUGAGGGAAAGGCGAAAAGAACCCCGGCGAGGGGAGUGAAAAAGAACCUGAAACCGUGUACGUACAAGCAGUGGGAGCACGCUUAGGCGUGUGACUGCGUACCUUUUGUAUAAUGGGUCAGCGACUUAUAUUCUGUAGCAAGGUUAACCGAAUAGGGGAGCCGAAGGGAAACCGAGUCUUAACUGGGCGUUAAGUUGCAGGGUAUAGACCCGAAACCCGGUGAUCUAGCCAUGGGCAGGUUGAAGGUUGGGUAACACUAACUGGAGGACCGAACCGACUAAUGUUGAAAAAUUAGCGGAUGACUUGUGGCUGGGGGUGAAAGGCCAAUCAAACCGGGAGAUAGCUGGUUCUCCCCGAAAGCUAUUUAGGUAGCGCCUCGUGAAUUCAUCUCCGGGGGUAGAGCACUGUUUCGGCAAGGGGGUCAUCCCGACUUACCAACCCGAUGCAAACUGCGAAUACCGGAGAAUGUUAUUACGGGAGACACACGGCGGGUGCUAACGUCCGUCGUGAAGAGGGAAACAACCCAGACCGCCAGCUAAGGUCCCAAAGUCAUGGUUAAGUGGGAAACGAUGUGGGAAGGCCCAGACAGCCAGGAUGUUGGCUUAGAAGCAGCCAUCAUUUAAAGAAAGCGUAAUAGCUCACUGGUCGAGUCGGCCUGCGCGGAAGAUGUAACGGGGCUAAACCAUGCACCGAAGCUGCGGCAGCGACGCUUAUGCGUUGUUGGGUAGGGGAGCGUUCUGUAAGCCUGUGAAGGUGUGCUGUGAGGUAUGCUGGAGGUAUCAGAAGUGCGAAUGCUGACAUAAGUAACGAUAAAGCGGGUGAAAAGCCCGCUCGCCGGAAGACCAAGGGUUCCUGUCCAACGUUAAUCGGGGCAGGGUGAGUCGACCCCUAAGGCGAGGCCGAAAGGCGUAGUCGAUGGGAAACAGGUUAAUAUUCCUGUACUUGGUGUUACUGCGAAGGGGGGACGGAGAAGGCUAUGUUGGCCGGGCGACGGUUGUCCCGGUUUAAGCGUGUAGGCUGGUUUUCCAGGCAAAUCCGGAAAAUCAAGGCCGAGGCGUGAUGACGAGGCACUACGGUGCUGAAGCAACAAAUGCCCUGCUUCCAGGAAAAGCCUCUAAGCAUCAGGUAACAUCAAAUCGUACCCCAAACCGACACAGGUGGUCAGGUAGAGAAUACCAAGGCGCUUGAGAGAACUCGGGUGAAGGAACUAGGCAAAAUGGUGCCGUAACUUCGGGAGAAGGCACGCUGAUACGUAGGUGAAGCGACUUGCUCGUGGAGCUGAAAUCAGUCGAAGAUACCAGCUGGCUGCAACUGUUUAUUAAAAACACAGCACUGUGCAAACACGAAAGUGGACGUAUACGGUGUGACGCCUGCCCGGUGCCGGAAGGUUAAUUGAUGGGGUUAGCGCAAGCGAAGCUCUUGAUCGAAGCCCCGGUAAACGGCGGCCGUAACUAUAACGGUCCUAAGGUAGCGAAAUUCCUUGUCGGGUAAGUUCCGACCUGCACGAAUGGCGUAAUGAUGGCCAGGCUGUCUCCACCCGAGACUCAGUGAAAUUGAACUCGCUGUGAAGAUGCAGUGUACCCGCGGCAAGACGGAAAGACCCCGUGAACCUUUACUAUAGCUUGACACUGAACAUUGAGCCUUGAUGUGUAGGAUAGGUGGGAGGCUUUGAAGUGUGGACGCCAGUCUGCAUGGAGCCGACCUUGAAAUACCACCCUUUAAUGUUUGAUGUUCUAACGUGGACCCGUGAUCCGGGUUGCGGACAGUGUCUGGUGGGUAGUUUGACUGGGGCGGUCUCCUCCUAAAGAGUAACGGAGGAGCACGAAGGUUGGCUAAUCCUGGUCGGACAUCAGGAGGUUAGUGCAAUGGCAUAAGCCAGCUUGACUGCGAGCGUGACGGCGCGAGCAGGUGCGAAAGCAGGUCAUAGUGAUCCGGUGGUUCUGAAUGGAAGGGCCAUCGCUCAACGGAUAAAAGGUACUCCGGGGAUAACAGGCUGAUACCGCCCAAGAGUUCAUAUCGACGGCGGUGUUUGGCACCUCGAUGUCGGCUCAUCACAUCCUGGGGCUGAAGUAGGUCCCAAGGGUAUGGCUGUUCGCCAUUUAAAGUGGUACGCGAGCUGGGUUUAGAACGUCGUGAGACAGUUCGGUCCCUAUCUGCCGUGGGCGCUGGAGAACUGAGGGGGGCUGCUCCUAGUACGAGAGGACCGGAGUGGACGCAUCACUGGUGUUCGGGUUGUCAUGCCAAUGGCACUGCCCGGUAGCUAAAUGCGGAAGAGAUAAGUGCUGAAAGCAUCUAAGCACGAAACUUGCCCCGAGAUGAGUUCUCCCUGACCCUUUAAGGGUCCUGAAGGAACGUUGAAGACGACGACGUUGAUAGGCCGGGUGUGUAAGCGCAGCGAUGCGUUGAGCUAACCGGUACUAAUGAACCGUGAGGCUUAACCUU
This 2850-nucleotide ribosomal RNA is filed under the name Escherichia coli. RNAcentral's name for it is "partial 23S ribosomal RNA". It matches the Rfam family "Bacterial large subunit ribosomal RNA". The record is from RNAcentral. Lineage: Bacteria; Pseudomonadati; Pseudomonadota; Gammaproteobacteria; Enterobacterales; Enterobacteriaceae. RNAcentral also lists the same sequence under 2 other names.